This 764-nucleotide ribosomal RNA is filed under the name uncultured bacterium. Its description in RNAcentral is "bacterial SSU rRNA". It matches the Rfam family "Bacterial small subunit ribosomal RNA", at positions 1 to 738 of the family's 1533-position model. The record is from RNAcentral.
UUCGCCGAUCGCCUUGAGUUUGAUAUGGCUCAGAAUCAACGCUGGCGGCGUGCCUCAGACAUGCAAGUCGAACGCGAAAGUCCCCUUCGGGGGAUGAGUAGAGUGGCGUCCGGGUGAGUAACACGUGGGUAAUCUACCUUCGGGUGGGGAAUAACAGUCGGAAACGACUGCUAAUACCGCAUAAUGCAGCGGCACCUAAUGGUGACAGUUGUUAAAGCGGGGGAUCGCAAGACCUCGCGCCUGAAGAGGAGCCCGCGGCGGAUUAGCUAGUUGGCAGGGUAACGGCCUACCAAGGCGACGAUCCGUAGCCGGCCUGAGAGGGCGGUCGGCCACACUGGCACUGACAUACGGGCCAGACUCCUACGGGAGGCAGCAGUCGGGAAUUUUGGGCAAUGGGCGAAAGCCUGACCCAGCAACGCCGCGUGAAGGAUGAAGUAUUUCGGUAUGUAAACUUCACAAGAAUGGGAAGAAUAAGUGGGGGAUAAUACCCCCCAUGAUGACGGUACCAUUUGUAAGCUCCGGCUAACUCCGUGCCAGCAGCCGCGGUAAUACGGGGGGAGCAAGCGUUGUUCGGAUUUACUGGGCGUAAAGGGCGCGUAGGCGGCGUAACAAGUCACUUGUGAAAUCUCCGGGCUUAACUCGGAGCGGCCAAGUGAUACUGUUGUGCUAGAGUGCGGAAGGGGCUACUGGAAUUCUCGGUGUAGCGGUGAAAUGCGUAGAUAUCGAGAGGAACACCUGCGGCGAAAGCNGGUAGCUGGGCCGAC